GGUAGCUUGGAGGUAAGUCGUGGUUGGUUCUGAGUUUCACAUAUGUUGUUUAAUGGUAGAUCAUGAACUGUUAGACAAUACUCAGCUAGAUGUAGGUAUGGAUCGAGCUCUGAAUGUGAUGCGUAAUUAUUAGUCCAUGUUUUUGCGAAUCAGACCAGAAGAAAUCACACUGUAAAUGUUGGUGAAGAUCAAACAAGGCGAAGUGGUUUUAUUAACUUUUGUGGGUUACUCAAAAUAGAGCCCAUGUUUUCUUAAGAUUGUGCGGAGUGGUGUCCUAAGUCCAAUGAGCAAUCACUUUUAUUUGAUUUGAAUUAAGAUGGUGGGAUGUACAUUACACAAAAACGUUAUAUAUUUAUUAUGCUCUCAGGGUCUUGAUUUGAAGGCCGGAAUUUUGUUAUCCCCUUGUAACGAAGGGGCUCUUUAUCAUGAAAUAUAUGUAGCCUACAAUAUUGUGAGUGUUAUCUCUCCUUCAAGGGAUGUAACCUUCAAUACUGUACUAGACGUUCUGUAGAGAAAGAAAGAUAUAUAUGAAGUUCUUUUUAAUUUUGUCAGAGAGAAAUGAGAGUGACACACAUGGAGAGAUAGAGUCGGGCCGGGACAUAUGUACAACUGCUUGAUCUCACCGUGAAGCAGCAAAGAUGCAUCUCAACCUUAACUUCGGCUCUUUGGACACUCUUGUUAUCUCUGUAAGAAUUUUCUGAUGUUUCUUUUGUGAUGCAUGUAGCUUUCAGCUUGCCAGCCUUUCAAAUCUGCAAGUGUCCGACGUACUAGGCUACUAUGGAAGUUUUGGAGGUUAUGUAGUUGUCGGUACUAGGUUUGACCAUUUGAGUUUUAUAUUCUGUAUGUAUAGGAAGGUCGCUUUAUUUGUUCUAGGGUCAUUUUUGAACAUGUUUAUGUAUUAUAAGAUCAUGGGCAUGUAUUGAUUAUGAAAUUAUUUUGUUUCUCAAAUGAAACUAUUUUAUCUAUCAAUAAUAUAUGUAGAUUGCCUGCCGUGUCUUUUCUAGGUUUACCUUCCUUCAUUAUGUUGCAUCAUGUGAUGUGAAUUUUUUAUUGUAGUUAAAGUCGCUGCUGCAAUUUUACUACAAAGAAUUAUGGUUGUAGUUACAAUUGUGCAAAAUAGUGGCUGAUCGUGCAGGGCGAGCAAUGGAGAAGGAAAAUGUUGUGGUGUACCUGAUGGGAAAAAUACAUAGGAGCUCCUGGGUGCCCGUGAACCCUAUAUAAAAAUUAAAGUUUACGGUCAAGAUAAUUUAAUCUGCAUGGAUGAAUGUGAUGGCUUGUUAGCCUAGAUUUUUAUUAUACUUGUCGAAGUAUCAUGCACAUGAACCUAAAGACAGCAUUCCUACCUUGUAAUAGAAUAUCUUAAGCGCAUCAAGUAAAUCUUAGUUUGUAAUAUAUAAUAUCUUAAGCGCAUCAUGUCUCUCUGUGUAUAUAAUCAAAUUACCUUGUAGGUG
Molecule: long non-coding RNA, 1451 nt
Filed under: Triticum aestivum (bread wheat)
Lineage: Eukaryota; Viridiplantae; Streptophyta; Magnoliopsida; Poales; Poaceae
Description: long non-coding RNA (TAES_LNC016659)
Source: RNAcentral